RNAcentral lists this transfer RNA (77 nucleotides) under Pseudomonas sp. FeN3W. Its description in RNAcentral is "tRNA-Asn". It matches the Rfam family "tRNA". From Rfam's summary of the family: Transfer RNA (tRNA) molecules are approximately 80 nucleotides in length. Their secondary structure includes four short double-helical elements and three loops (D, anti-codon, and T loops). Lineage: Bacteria; Pseudomonadati; Pseudomonadota; Gammaproteobacteria; Pseudomonadales; Pseudomonadaceae. The record is from RNAcentral.
UGGCGAUUAGCUCAGUCGGUAGUAGCAGGUGACUGUUAAUCACCAGGUCGUAGGUUCGAGCCCUACAUCGCCAGCCA